GGUUAGGCCUAUGGUCCCACAUUUCUAAGAUUUAGUUAGGGUUAGGGUUACAUUUCAUCUGUAGUCCAUUGCUACUGGAUAAUAGGUUGGGUGUAAUUGGCUACCGAAUUGGGAGAAAGGGGGGUAAAAUCUGAUACAAAUGUAUGAAAAAGAACUGUGGGAACAUAGGGCUACAUUUU
Etheostoma spectabile (orangethroat darter) is the source of this 179-nucleotide long non-coding RNA. RefSeq lists it as uncharacterized. The transcript is spliced from 2 exons. The record is from RefSeq and is a predicted model, not a curated record. Lineage: Eukaryota; Metazoa; Chordata; Actinopteri; Perciformes; Percidae.